This 74-nucleotide transfer RNA is filed under the name Dactylopterus volitans (flying gurnard). RNAcentral describes it as "tRNA-Leu(UUR)". Lineage: Eukaryota; Metazoa; Chordata; Actinopteri; Syngnathiformes; Dactylopteridae. The record is from RNAcentral.
GUUAAGGUGGCAGAACCCGGACAUUGCAAAAGACCUAAGCCCUUUCCAUAGAGAUUCAAAUUCUCUCCUUAACU